GACGAACGCUGGCGGCGUGCUUAACACAUGCAAGUCGAACGGGACCCGCAAGGGUUCAGUGGCGAACGGGUGCGUAACACGUGAAGAAUUUGUCCAACGGCGGGGGAUAGCCGGCCCAACGGCCGGGUAAUACCGCGUACGACCUUUGAGGGGCGAUCCCUCGAUGGUGAAAGCCGCAAGGCGCCGAUGGAGAACUUCGCGGCCUAUCAGCUAGUUGGUGAGGUCAUGGCUCACCAAGGCGACGACGGGUAGCUGGUCCGAGAGGAUGACCAGCCACAUUGGGACGUGAGACACGGCCCAGACUCCUACGGGAGGCAGCAGUGGGGAAUAUUGCGCAAUGGGGCGAAAGCCUGACGCAGCGACGCCGCGUGUGGGAUGACGGCC
RNAcentral lists this ribosomal RNA (384 nucleotides) under uncultured bacterium. Its description in RNAcentral is "bacterial SSU rRNA". It matches the Rfam family "Bacterial small subunit ribosomal RNA", at positions 28 to 416 of the family's 1533-position model. The record is from RNAcentral.